AUGCAGACUCCUUUCUUCCUCACCAGGCUGAGCAGAUCGAAAAAAGAGCUACUACCCCGGCGAUGAACGAACCAGAGCAGCUUGGGCUAACGGGCGUCGGCGCAGGAAUCAAUUGUUUUCUCCAACCAGUGGAGAGGUUACCAAUCUUCGCCGAUGCGGUUGGGGAGAACACACCAGGCCUUGGAAGUACAUGGAGCCAUGGGAUGUCUUCUCAUGAAGUGGAAUCUGGUAGCUCGGCCAUGGCGGAUAUUCGCUGGACUGCGGAAGUGGAUUUCGGCAGGCGGCGUAAGGGCCAUAACUCUAACAACCACGGGCCAGCUGAUUCACAGGAGUCCACAGGCGGUCUUAAUCCAGAAGCUCCUGGAUGGAUAAAAAGCCUGAUGAACCGAGCUCACGCCUUUAGAAAAAGAUGAUCUAUCACAGGGUCCGAGCUGCUUCAAUGCCACUCGACAGGACACCUUGCGCAACAUGAGUUGGGGCGCUUGAGCAGUCGAUCCGAGGGUUCGCUGAAAGGAAAUCCCAAGUCGUGGUAUACCCUGAAACUGGGAUGACCUUUGAUUCUAUUGGCGAAGCCUAUGACUUCUACAAUCUCUAUUCUUGGGAAUAUGGUUUUGGGAUAAGGUACGGCAAAAGUCGGCUGAAUGUGGAGAGGACUAAAUGCAUGCAAGAAAUAGUAUGCGGAUGCUCGGGGAAGCCGAAGAGAACAAACACCCGGUCCUGCAGGUGCGAGUGUCCUGCCAUGAUUCGUUUGCUCCGGACAGAUGACAAUGGUUGGUAUAUUAGCGAGCACCGGUCUACGCACAACCACUCGUUGUCUAAGACUUGCGGUGAGCUAGUGCAUUGGUCAUCACACAAGCACAUUGACAUUUACACAAAAGAUCUGGUAAAGCAGUUGAGGGAGAACAAUAUCAACAUUAGCAAGGUGUACAGCAUCAUCGGCAGUUUUUUUGGCAAUAUGGAGAACGUACCAUUCACAAAGAGGUCCCUGAGAAGCUUGUGUGGACAGAUUAGCCGGAACCAGGCUGAUGAUGACGUGAAGAAAACCAUGGAGGUCUUUGCGGAGCUGGGAGCAAAGGAUCCUGAUUUCUGCUAUCGUGUACAGCCAGACAAGGAAAGCCGUAUCAAGAACCUUAUGUGGACCAAUGGUACAAGCAGGGAUCAGUACAAGUAUUUUGGUGAUGUGAUUACUUUCGACACCACGUACAGGACAAAUCUGU
This is a long non-coding RNA of Lolium rigidum, 1217 nucleotides long. RefSeq lists it as uncharacterized. NCBI's taxonomy places the organism in Eukaryota, Viridiplantae, Streptophyta, Magnoliopsida, Poales, Poaceae. The record is from RefSeq and is a predicted model, not a curated record. The transcript is spliced from 4 exons.